RNAcentral lists this long non-coding RNA (921 nucleotides) under Trifolium pratense (red clover). RNAcentral describes it as "long non-coding RNA (TPRA_LNC014122)". Lineage: Eukaryota; Viridiplantae; Streptophyta; Magnoliopsida; Fabales; Fabaceae. The record is from RNAcentral.
UUAGGGGUGUGCAUCGGUCGGAUCCGGUCGGAUUCGGUCCGAAAAAUCUCAUCUGAUAUGAAACCGAGAAGGGAAUAAACAGACCCAUUUUCGUCCGCCAAGAGCAUCGGUUUCAUCGGGUGCGGUUGAAAUCGGUGGCGGGUUGCACGGUUCAGUUAGUUCGGGUUUGCAUCUCUAUUCUUGAGUUUAGUAGGAAGAUUUGUUCAAGAUUGAGGAAGGUGAUGGAAAGUUUUUUGCUGGAAACAAUAUGAAGUGAGAAGAAAAUAUUUUAGAUGAAGGUGGUUUUUUAAGUGAAGUUUGACUUUUUGAGACAUCAUUCUUUGUUGUUGAGAGAGAAUGAAGUUUUUUUUUAGAGCAUAAACUCAUGUUGCUGCAGAGAAGGAAGUUGUAGCUAGUGAGAGAUAGAGAGGGUGCAAAGCUUUGAACUCAAAAAAAGGAAGACGAAGCAUUAGAAAGAUAAUAUCUAAAGUUAUCAAAAAGAAAAGUUAUAAGUUUUAAAUUUAUUACUUAUUGUUAAAUACUAUUAAUUUAAGUUAUAACUUAUGUCUAGUAUAGUCUAGAUGAUUACAAAUCAGUACUAGUAGCAGACACACUAAGCUAAAGAUAUGAUUUUUUUAGCUUCUCUCAAAUAGUGAUGUGACUUGACAAGAGAAAAUGAGAAAUAAACAUAAAUAAAUAAAGAACAUGUCAGGCAAAAGCACGUGAACUGAACACAUAUGAGUCUCAAACAAUUUGCAUAAGUUUCUUGCAAUACCUUUCGGUCAGGCUCGGUCUCCGACGGUGUUUUUAUUUUAAAUCCGAAACCGACCAACAAUAACCAUGUCAAACUGGUUUUUUCAAUUUUUUAGACCCGUGAACCGACCCACACCCGCCCGUUCGGUUUAUUUUUUAUCGGUUUUAUCGGGUUUCGGUCGGAUUNNN